Molecule: small nuclear RNA, 102 nt
Filed under: Sus scrofa (pig)
Lineage: Eukaryota; Metazoa; Chordata; Mammalia; Artiodactyla; Suidae
Source: RNAcentral
UUGCUUCAGCAGCACAUAUGCUAAAACUGGAACAAUACAGAGAAGAUUAGCAUGGCCCCAGAACAAGGAUGACAUGAAAUUCAUGAAGUGUUCCACAUUUUU